CGAGUUUGAUCAUGGCUCAGGAUGAACGCUAGCGGGAGGCUUAACACAUGCAAGUCGAGGGGUAAAUGGUAGCAAUACUAUGAGACCGGCGAACGGGUGCGUAACGCGUAUGCAACUUACCUUAUGCAGGGGGAUAGCCCGUGGAAACGCGGAUUAAUAUCCCAUAGAUCAGUAAUAUCGCAUGGUAUAACUGGUAAAACUCAGGUGGCAUAAGAUGGGCAUGCGUCUGAUUAGCUAGUUGGUGAGGUAACGGCUCACCAAGGCGAUGAUCGGUAGCUGGUCUGAGAGGACGAUCAGCCACACGGGAACUGAGACACGGUCCCGACUCCUACGGGGGGCAGCAGUGAGGAAUAUUCGGCAAUGGGGGCAACCCUGACCGAGCAACGCCGCGUGGAGGAUGACGGUUUUCGGAUUGUAAACUCCUUUUCUCAGGGAAGAGCGAGGACGGUACCUGAGGAAUAAGUCACGGCUAACUACGUG
RNAcentral lists this ribosomal RNA (480 nucleotides) under uncultured bacterium. RNAcentral's name for it is "bacterial SSU rRNA". It matches the Rfam family "Bacterial small subunit ribosomal RNA", at positions 9 to 507 of the family's 1533-position model. The record is from RNAcentral.